This 256-nucleotide ribosomal RNA is filed under the name uncultured bacterium. RNAcentral describes it as "partial 16S ribosomal RNA". It matches the Rfam family "Bacterial small subunit ribosomal RNA", at positions 524 to 776 of the family's 1533-position model. The record is from RNAcentral.
UACAGAGGUCUCAAGCGUUGUUCGGAUUCAUUGGGCGUAAAGAGCUCGUAGGCGGCUUGUCGCGUCGACUGUGAAAUCCCGCGGCUCAACUGCGGGUCUGCAGUCGAUACGGGCAGGCUAGAGUUCGGUAGGGGAGACUGGAAUUCCUGGUGUAGCGGUGAAAAUGCGCAGAUAUCAGGAGGAACACCGGUGGCGAAGGCGGGUCUCUGGGCCGAUACUGACGCUGAGGAGCGAAAAGCGUGGGGGAGCGAACAGG